Molecule: long non-coding RNA, 150 nt
Organism: Sphaeramia orbicularis (orbiculate cardinalfish)
Lineage: Eukaryota; Metazoa; Chordata; Actinopteri; Kurtiformes; Apogonidae
Exons: 4
Source: RefSeq, a predicted model, not a curated record
CAAAAAUGCCACGAACAGGUACAAAAGUUGUAGAGGCUAUAUGUUUCAUUAAUGGUGGAAAAUAGUUUUAAAAUGAUUUAUGUUGGUCUAAUUUUUUUGCAUCACAAAAACCUGGCAUUUUAACAAGGGUGUAUAGACUUUUUAUAUCCA